Molecule: non-coding RNA, 113 nt
Organism: Salvelinus sp. IW2-2015
Lineage: Eukaryota; Metazoa; Chordata; Actinopteri; Salmoniformes; Salmonidae
Source: RefSeq, a predicted model, not a curated record
AGGUAUAAACACCGGCAUCAUCACACAUACUGGUGAAACUGGCUAGGGUAUAAACACCGGCAUCAUCACACAUACUGGUGAAACUGGCUAGGGUAUAAACACCGGCAUCAUCA